CGCUAACAUUGUCUUAAAAUUUGCAAUAAUUUCAUUUUGAAUGACUUUGUUUAAACCUAUAACCUUUAACAUCUGAUAUUUUUAUUAUCUAGAGCUCUGUAAAAAAAAAAAAAUAUGUAAAAAAAAAGAAGAAAUAACAAAAAAUAAUAUGAAAACAAAAUUGUAAACAGAGUUCUAGAUAAUAAACAUUGAGGGUGGUGUAAAAAGUAGGCAUAUUUAAAAUUUGUUUAUUAUUAUGAAUAGUGCACUGUAUAAUUUGUAAAAUGUUUAUUGUGAAGUCUUGGAAAAUUGUGAAACUUUAGAACUGUGUUUAUUUGAGAUGUUUAUAUUCAAUCUUCAAUGAUGAUCAUGGCAAUGGAGGACAAUAGAAUAUUGCUCUAAGAUGAAACUGACUUUUUUAUAUCAAGAAAGAUCCAACAACAGUAAUCAAUGAUAUCUACAAAGACAAAAGACUGAGCUAUAAUACUAGCUAAAUAAAACUGUGAACUUGUAUAAUAACAUGUAUGUUCUAUAGUGAAGAUAGGUUCCUACAUAAUGUUCUAUAGGGAAGACAUGUUCCUACAAACUGUUCUAUAGUGAAGACACGUUCCUACAUAAUGGUCUAUAGUGAAGACAUGUUCCUACAAACUGUUCUAUAGUGAAGACACGUUCCUACAUAAUGGUCUAUAGUGAAGACAUGUUCCUACAUACUGUUCUAGAGAAGACAUGUUCCUACAUAAUGUUCUAUUGUGAAGACAUGUUCCUACAUACUGUUCUAUAGUGAAGACACGUUCCUACAUAAUGUUCUAGAGAAGACAUGUUCCUACAUAAUGUUCUAUACAGAAGACAUUUCUACAUAAUGGUCUAUUGAGAAGACAUGUUCCGACAUAAUGGUCUAUAGUGAAGACAUGUUCUUACAUAAUGUUCUAUGGUGAAGAAAGAUGUUCUAUAGCACAAACAGAUGUUCCUUAGUUGCAAUAAAGUGUUCAGAAGACGGACAGAGUUUCCUUUUGCAAUGAAGUAUCCAGAACUCAUAGCUGAUAAGAUUUCCAGCUCUUCAUUACAUAUUCUGCUGUUUUCUCAAGAAAAACUCAAGGUAUUGAUAGUUUAAGUCUGUAAAAAGUGUAUCAUUUGCACGCAAUUUAAAUUUUUAAUUUAAAUAGCCAAACCUGUUAGUGUGGAUUGAUUGUGUUAUUCUAGUUCUAGCUUUAUGAUCCUCUUUGAAUAUUCAGAUUAAUGUGAGGGAAAUUUCUCCAUUGUAAUAUCUUUUUGAUAGUAUUUUGUAAUUUUUUCUGGUUUUCUUUUCUAUUGAUGAAUAUGAAGAAUUGUGAAAUGUGUAUGACUUGAUGAGAUAAUGGAAAGAAAAAUUAUAUUUAAACUUUCAAUAAAUACUUUUCGACAAUUCUUUUCCUCAGUUGAAAACAUUGAAAAUGCCUAUAAAAACAAUAGCUUAAUAUUUCAUCAGAAUGUAUUGUAAGGCAGCAUGCUAUUUUGAAUGUUGGUUAUCUGUACGAUCAGCCUAAACAGAUUUUACAUAGUAAAAAAAUAAAUUGAAAGCUAACAAGGGGAAAUAAUUUAUCAAAUUUUAAAAGAAAAAUAACAGCAAGCACUUGAAAAAAGCUUAAAAGAAAGAACUGUACCAGGCUUACAUCUUACUGCAAGUUAAAGUUGGCACCAACUACCAAAGUGAGGGAAUUCUUUGCAAAAUGCAAAUCUUUUUUCAACCAUUUAUUGAAAAACUAAUAACGAACAUAAAUAAUAUUGAUAGAAAAAGAAUAAAAAAUAUAUUUAGAAAUAAUUACAUAUUAGCUAUGACAUUUAGAUGAUGUGGUAUGAUUGCCAAUUGAGACAUCUAUAUAGCAGUGACCAAAUGAAAUCAAUUAGUUUGACGAUCUCCUUAUAGAAUUUAAAAAUACAUACGAAAAUCUUAAUUAAAUAGUUUUAAUUUAAUAGAUUAUUUCAAGUCUUAAGUAUGUGAAUGCCAUUCAUAAAAAUGAAUUAUUUUUAUUCCAGAUUUCAAUGUUCAACCUGAAAGUCGAAAUUCUUAAAAUUUAUGCUGGACAUCUCAAAUCAAGGAUCCAUCACAAUACUGGAUAUCUACAGAUAUUAGACUUAUGGAGAAUAUUCUGAUAAAUUAAUGUAAGUGUUUACAUUAAGUAAUCUGGUGGGUUGAUUGUGAUCCCUUAUGUAUACAAUCACCAAAAUUAACAUGGAAUUGGAACCAUUUUACAGCACUAUAAUAGAAGCCAGCAUAUGCUUUUUCAUAUCGAAACAGUCUAUUUUCGAAAUACCUAGUAAUUUCUUGUAAUUGACGGUCAAUCUGUUUGGCAAAUUUGAUUGGAUCGAUAAAAAAGUACUACUGGGGUAAAUGUGAGAUGUAUUGGUCCAAAUAAUGAGUUCAAAUUGUUUCAAGUGUUAUAAGGGUAUUCUCACUUUUUUCAAAAUACUGUAAAAUUCUGAAUAUCCUAGAGCAUGUCAAUCAAUAAAGCAGAUAAAAUAUGGGUUCCCAAUUACCAUCUAGACAAUUUUUUUUGCUAUCUUUUACUGAAGAUUUCUUUUGUCUUUUCUUGUUGUCAUUCCAAAACAAUUAAUUUUCAAGGGUAUUCAGCAGAUUAUUAACUGUUACCUUGUGUAUUGCAAUUAAGAUAACAAGUUAUACCAUGUGCCAAGUAGACAAUUGAUGAUAGGUGUAUUGCUCUUUAUCUAUAAAAGUGGAUACAAAUAUUUCAACAUCAUUCACAUUUAUCUGUCUUAAGAUGCUACUGGUACCAAACUGCUUCACUAAAAUUAGUUUGGCUUGUUUAAUUUUCAGACAAUUUUGUCAAAAUGUUUACUUUGACCAUAUGACAAAAAUAUAAAGAUUUAAAAAAAACUUGGAACCACACACUUUAUCGGCAAAUUUUCAUUAGACAAAUAGCAGUUUGACUAACAACAAUUUUGAUCACUGAGAAGCUUAAUAUUUCCUGAACAAUAGGCUGUAAUUAAAACAUUCAGCUGAUUUUUGCAGAGUUAUCUCCCUGUAAUGUUGUGUACCACCUUAAAUUCAUUUAUUUAUGUCUUUGGGAAUAAAUAAAUAUUGCUAAUCAGAUGAUCCCAAAAACUAAGAAAUAUUUUUCUGUGUUUCAGAUGUACGACAAAUCCUGCUUCAAGUAUUAAACCAGCAAAACUUUUAACUUGAUGGGAGUAAAACAUACCACUGAAUCUCACUUUGUACAAGGUUGAUACUCAGCAAAAUUAUUUAAUGGGAGUAAAACAUGGGAGCAGGAUCUCACCUCAUACAAGGUUGGUAUUCUUUAACUUCCGUAGUGAAUUAAUUAUCUGUCCAUCCAUCUGAUGUCGCAAUAUUCUAAUAAAAAUAAGAAGAUGUGGUAUGAUUGCUGAUGAGACAACUCUCUAUCAGAGACCAAAUGAUGAAGAAGUUAAAAAAAUAUAUAUCUUUCAUGGUUGUCAACUUUGAGUUUCAAUGAGACAGAGCUGCUUAAAACUAUCUGUUUCAUUGGGUCAAGGUAUGAUAUGAUGUGCUGGGAAAUAACCAGUUGAUUUGAGUAACUACUUUCAUUGUUGUUCUUUAUCAUAACAGUUGCUGCAGUGUCUUCAGCUAUGAACUGAAAUGAUUAUGCUUAGCAAUUAUGUCAAGACGACCCCUAUUGCCAACUUGAACAUUGUAUGUUCAAUAAUGGUAACAUUACUCCAACUGGAGGUAUCAACUGUAUUAAAUACAGAGACAAAAUAGAAGAAUAUUAGAAGUGAAAGAAAUUAGUCUAGAUGUAUUUUGGUUAUUUUUCUCAUACACUUCACCUCCCUGUAUUCAUAUCUGCAUGGCUGUAUUAAGAUUUUAAUAUACUGAGCCUGUUGAGCAAACAAAAUCAGGGGAAAUAUUUCUAUGGGGUGUAAUUAAGUAUUAAGAAUAGUACUGAACUGCUCACCAUUGUUGCUGUAAAACCUUCCAAAUUCAAGUGAUGUUCCCAUUUUCUUUUGCAAUUUUUAUUAUCCAAUUGAAUAAACUGAUUAAAUUGUUGUUUGUAGUGAGGAGGGACAAUUGAAGUGAUGAACUUAGAAACAUCUGAUUGUGUACACAAGAAAGACAGAACACAUAGAAUAAGGAAAGAGAAAGAUGAGCUCAUAGAGUAAUGGGUAGAUGAAAUUAGAAAAAAACCACUGAAAAUUAACCAAAAGAGAAAGAGAAAGAUGAGCUCAUAGAGUAAAGGAUAGAUGAAAUUAGAAAAAAAAAAACACUGAAAAUUAACCAACACACCAGCUGACUUAUCACCAACUUAGAUUAGAGCUGAGUCAACUGAUGAACAUAGUCAAC
Molecule: long non-coding RNA, 4291 nt
Filed under: Mytilus galloprovincialis (Mediterranean mussel)
Lineage: Eukaryota; Metazoa; Mollusca; Bivalvia; Mytilida; Mytilidae
Source: RNAcentral